CACUGCUUAGGUUGUGUUUCCUCUGCUCCAUUUCUGUAAAUCUAUGCCUAUCCCCCUCCCUUAAAUGGGAGCACUGACAGAAAAUUCUAUUAUGUGCAUAGAAUUGGCUUCAUAUCAGAAUAAAUUGCAAGAAGCAAGAAGGGAAAAUUCCCUUCAUCACUUCACAAUCACAGCUCUCAAGUCAAAAUAAGAAAGCUUUCUCAAAGGCCACAGGACCUGCGCCCUGGCUCUCCGUAGGAAAACUGGUAUACAACUGGUCAGGUGGUCAAUUUCUUCUUGUUUCAGUUUAAGAAUGCAUGUCUUGCCACCAUCAUGAGGAGUCCAAAGUAACCAGAUGAUAACCAGAGCUUCAGUUUCAAUAGAACUCUUACUGAGCCACACUGUUGAAAGCAUUCAUCACCCUGGGAGCCAACACCUUAAAUCCAGCAUUGUCUAAGCUUUCAAGGCUUGGCAGCCAGAACUCCAUAGACACAACCUGCCUCCGGGAAACUAUCUGUAUUGAUACAAAUGGAAUCAUUAAGUGGACUCCUUGAGACUCUCCUUACAGAGAGGAUUCCCCUCUCCAGUGUCCUUGCUUGUUGAAUUGUAACCCACUGACCAGCCGCAUCAGCAUCAGAUUUCUUCUGGCUGCUACCACUAUGAUCUCCUCCAUGGCUUCUCACACUUAAUGUUCAUUUGGAUCAUCAGAGAAUCUUGUUAAAACGCAAAUUCUGAUUCAGUCUCUCUGAUCAAGUUGGGACCCGAGAUUCUGCAUUUGUAACAAGCUCCCAAAUGACUCUCACGCUGCUGGCAUUUCUAUACUUUUGAUAAAAAGAUGUGCAAAUCCUUGAAUGAUUUCACACAGGAUGGACACGGAAAAUAUUAGAAUUUCUACCUUUAUCCAGGCACGAAUACAUCAUUUUAGAAGAGAGAAGAACAAAUGCACACUUUUGAGUAUGGAAAUACUGUGAUGUCACCAAUCUCUGCUGUUUCAUGGCAAGGAAAAUGAUCUUCUACCAUCAUUCCUGGGAUGGGACAUGUGCCAUAUCAGUGUAAAAUUAAACUGUUGAUUAAUUGUUGUCAAUAUGAUUUUAGCUAAAUCCAGUACUUAUACCAUAAUCUCAUUCAAUUCUAAUGGUAUCUCUAGUUCAACCAAGCUUAAUUUAUCAAUAACUCAAAUAUCUCAACUCACAUAUUUUCUCAUUCUACUUUUAUUCUUGGAUUUCACAUUGAUUUUAUCCAAAAUAAAUUCUCUUUGGAAAAAGAAGAGUAUAAUUAAUAUAUAAAUGUUAGCAAAUAAAAUAAAUAAUAUCUUGCAUGAAUAUAUUUGGAGGAAUUUCAGAAACUUAGCAUUGUGCCCUUGUAAAUUAUGCCUUCAAAAAUAUUUCUCUAGUUUUCUUGUCUAAUUUGAAGAAAUGCCUCUAAUGUUAGGAAUUGCAAACUAUGUUAAGGGGAAAGUAAAUCAAUUACACAAUGGGGUACUGAAAAGGAAUUUUAUGGGAAUGACUGGUUUUAAUUACCUCAAAAUACAAUGCAAUUGUCAAUACUGUUUUUAGAUUAAAGUUUAUUGCAGUGACCGAGAACCUCAAAUCCCUACUCCAAAUGAUAACCACAUCUUUCACCUUAUCAAGCCUCAGAAAGAGAGAGACUAUUUGCCACUGAUUUAAAGUUCAGAAAACUCUGAAUUUUAUUUGUAAUCUCUAAUGAUGAAAGCUGUCCUUAGGAUAACUUCAAAUUCUUCUCAUCAGUUUCUUCCCCUUCUAUUCUAAAUAGUACUAAGUAUUCAAGUUCUGACAUCUUUAAUUUCUCAAUAUCUUUUUAAAUAAUUUCAUUUUGUUAUCCUUUAUUGUGUUUCUCUCUCUUAUUUGAUAAAAAUUCUUGAAUACUCAUCUAUCUUCUCCCUGUCACAUCAUCCUGAUCCUGAAUGUGAAAGUUUAUUUUAUACUUAACUCCACUUAAACUGCUUUUGUUGAAAUCACCCUUGCUCCUCUUUUGUUCAAAUCCAAAGGCUUCUCUCUUAAUACUUUUCAGUCACUUUCUCGUGUUUUAGGCUCUUGAUCAUAUUCUUCUUAGUACACUGUUUGAUAUUUGUCUUAGGAUUCUCUGGUCAUUAGGUACAUAUUAAGUCAGUUGAUUUGUCUUGACUUUUGAAACUGACCUUCAUUCUCCCAGUAUUAACCAUGUGUUUCAAGACUUAUUGUCCCUGCUUUGGGCAAUUCAGUGGUUGCAAAGCCAUGUCAAAUAUGGUUCCUGUUCCCAAGCCGUUAUGGUUUAGUUCAAAAAGUGCUAAACCAUGUACAAAAAUGUAAAUACUAAUUAUAAGGCAGUAAAUGAAUUCUAAAUAAAUAGGUCAAUUUUGUAGUA
Molecule: non-coding RNA, 2343 nt
Organism: Equus caballus (horse)
Lineage: Eukaryota; Metazoa; Chordata; Mammalia; Perissodactyla; Equidae
Source: RefSeq, a predicted model, not a curated record